CACCCGAAAGGGUGAGUAAUACCGCAUGAACUCGCAAGAGUAAAGGGCUUAACUGCCCGCCGGGAGAGGAGCCUGCGUCCUAUCAGCUAGAAGGUGGGGUAAAAGCCUACCUUGGCGAUGACGGGUAGCCGGUGUGAGAGCACGACCGGCCACAAGGUCACUGACAUACGGGGCCUACACCUACGGGUGGCAGCAACCGGGAAUAUUGCGCAAUGGACGAAAGUCUGACGCAGCGACACCGCGUGUGGGAUGAAGCAUUUCGGUGUGUAAACCACUGUGGCGAGGGAGGAAGAUCUGACAGUACCUCGCUAGAAAGCACCUGCUAACUACGUGCCAGAAGCCUCGGCAAUACGUAGGGUGCAAGCGUUAUCCGGAUUUACUGGGCGUAAAGGGUUUCGCAGGUGGAUUAGUUAGUUCAAUCUUAAAGACCGCGGCUCAACUGCGGGAAUGGAUUGGAUACUGCUAGUCUAGAGGACAUCAGGGGAGACUGGAAUUCUUGGUGGAGGGGUGAAAUCCGUUGAUAUCAAGAGGAACGUCGAUGGCGAAGGCAAGUCUCUGGGGUGUUCCCGCAAGGGACCAUGCACUUUUGUGUAUGGCCUGACACUCAUGUACGAAAGCUAGGGUAGCAAACGGGAUUAGAGACCCCGGUAGUCCUAGCCGUAAACGAUGGAUACUAGUUGCUUGGCAUUCGUGCCGGGUGGCGUAAGCUAACGCGUUAAGUAUCCCGCCUGGGUAGUACGGUCGCAAGGCUAAAACUCAAAGGAAUUGACGGGGAUCUGCACAACCAGUGGAGCAUGUGGUUUAAUUCGAUACAAAGCGAAGGACCUUACCUGGACUUGACAUGUAUCUGCACGCCCUGUGAAAGCAGGGAAGCCUUAGAGGGUGAUACACAGGUGUUGCAUGGCUGUCGUCAGCUCGUGUCGUGAGACGUCUGCUUAAGUGCAGUAACGAGCGCAACCCCUGUCCUGUGUUGUAUUUCUCACAGGAGACUGCCUUACAGCAAGUAGGGAGGAAGGAGGGGAUGACGUCAAGUCAGCAUGACCCUUACGUCCAGGGCAACACACAUCCUACAAUGGGGAGGACAACGGGUUGCGAUCCGGCAACGGUUAGCUAAUCCUUCAAACCUUCUCUCAGUUCGGAUUGUAGGCUGCAAUUCGCCUACAUGAAGUCGGAAUUGGUAGUAAUCGCAGGUCAGCAGACUGCGGUGAAUACGUUCUCAGAUCUUGUACACACUGCCCGUCAAGCCAGCAAAGUCGGCAGAGCCCGAAGCGGGAGUCCCCAACCAUGCCUUUGGCAUGGACGGGCCCUUCUAAGGCUAGGUCGGCGAUGAGGACUAAGUCGUAACAAGG
This 1349-nucleotide ribosomal RNA is filed under the name metagenome. RNAcentral's name for it is "bacterial SSU rRNA". It matches the Rfam family "Bacterial small subunit ribosomal RNA", at positions 148 to 1496 of the family's 1533-position model. The record is from RNAcentral.